This is an unclassified non-coding RNA of Chelonoidis abingdonii (Abingdon island giant tortoise), 190 nucleotides long. NCBI's taxonomy places the organism in Eukaryota, Metazoa, Chordata, Testudines, Testudinidae. The record is from Ensembl.
UUGACAGCCACUGGAGACUCCAGCCCUCUAUUUACCCACAGAGCAGGUAUACCAUGAGCAGCAGCAGAUCAUGCUUCCUACGCUCACAUGCCGCCCCCACCAUCAAUGUACCUCAACUCUGACCUGGAGGCAUUGCUUCUAGGAAUGAGUGAGGAGUUCAUUCUCAAGGCCCAUUCAGACCUCGCCUGCU